CCUACGGGCGGCUGCAGUCGAGAAUCUUCGGCAAUGGGCGCAAGCCUGACCGAGCGACGCCGCGUGCGGGAUGAAGGCCUUCGGGUUGUAAACCGCUGUCGAGGGGAAUGAAGUGCAGGUGGGUUCUCCCAUCUGUUUGACAGAUCCCUGGAGGAAGCAUGGGCUAAGUUCGUGCCAGCAGCCGCGGUAAGACGAACCAUGCAAUCGUUAGGCCGAUAAACUGGCCUUAAAGCGUGCGUAGGUCGGGUGUGAAAGCCCUCAGCCCAACUGAGGAAUUGCGCUUGAUACUGCAUGACUAGAGAAUGAUAGAGGUGAGUGGAACUGAUGGUGGAGCGGUGAAAUGCGUUGAUAUCAUCAGGAACACCAGUGGCGAAGGCGACCCACUGGGUCAUUUCUGACGCUGAGGUACGAAAGCUAGGGUAGCGAACGGGAUUAGAUACCCUAGUAAUC
RNAcentral lists this ribosomal RNA (450 nucleotides) under uncultured bacterium. RNAcentral's name for it is "partial 16S ribosomal RNA". It matches the Rfam family "Bacterial small subunit ribosomal RNA", at positions 338 to 795 of the family's 1533-position model. The record is from RNAcentral.